ACGUGAAACCUUGUGGGAAGCAGGGAGGACCACCUCCCAAGGCUAAAUACUACCUGAUGACCGAUAGUGAAGCAGUACCGUGAGGGAAAGGUGAAAAGAACCCCGGGAGGGGAGUGAAAUAGAACCUGAAACCGUGUGCCUACAACCGCUCAGAGCCCCUUAUGAGGGUGAUGAGGUGCUUUUUGUAGAACGAGCCAACGAGUUACGGUAUGUAGCAAGGUUAAGUACUUAAGGUACGGAGCCGAAGGGAAACCGAGUCUGAAUAGGGCGACUAGUUGCAUGCCGUAGACCCGAAACCGGGUGACCUAUCCAUGGCCAGGUUGAAGCGAGGGUAAAACCUCGUGGAGGACCGAACCACGUUGCUGUUGAAAAAGCAUGGGAUGAGCUGUGGAUAGCGGAGAAAUUCCAAUCGAACCCGGAGAUAGCUGGUUCUCUCCGAAAUAGCUUUAGGGCUAGCGUCGAGUAUGAGUAGUGGAGGUAGAGCACUGAAUGGGCUAGGGGGCAUAGCGCUUACCGAACCUUAUCAAACUCCGAAUGCCACAUACUUUGAGCUCGGCAGUCAGACUACGAAUGAUAAGAUCCGUGGUCAAAAGGGAAACAGCCCAGAUCGUCAGCUAAGGUCCCAAAGUGUAAGUUAAGUGGGAAAGGAUGUGAGAUUUCUAAGACAACUAGGAUGUUGGCUUAGAAGCAGCCAUUCAUUAAAAGAGUGCGUAAUAGCUCACUAGUCGAGAGAUCUUGCGCCGAAAAUGUAACGGGGCUAAACUUACCACCGAAGCUACGGGCUUGAACUUAGUUCAAGCGGUAGGAGAGCGUCGUAACCGGGCUGAAGUCGUACCGUAAGGAGCGGUGGACUGGUUACGAGUGAGAAUGUUGGCAUCAGUAGCGAGAUGUGGGUGAGAAUCCCACAGGCCGAAAACCUAAGGUUUCCUCAGGAAGGUUCGUCCGCUGAGGGUUAGUCGGGACCUAAGCCGAGGCCGAAAGGCGUAGGUGAUGGACAACUGGUUGAUAUUCCAGUACCACUACCAUCGUUAUUAUCGAUGGCGUGACGCAGGAGGAUAGUGUGUGCUAGCUAUUGGAUGCU
This 1081-nucleotide ribosomal RNA is filed under the name Clostridium perfringens. RNAcentral's name for it is "partial 23S ribosomal RNA". It matches the Rfam family "Bacterial large subunit ribosomal RNA", at positions 424 to 1508 of the family's 2925-position model. The record is from RNAcentral. Lineage: Bacteria; Bacillati; Bacillota; Clostridia; Eubacteriales; Clostridiaceae.